GUGAAUCAUCAAAUUUUUGAACGCAAAUUGCACUCUCCUCGGAGAGUAUGCCUGUUUGAGGGUCAGCCUAUAAAAAAUCGACAUCGUUGCUGUUUCGCGGUGGCAUUCGUCGGAAAUUGGGUCAUCUUAAGUCCUUUUGGUUUUUAAGCGACUUAAAAUUUUCUUUUUGGUUCCAUGAACGUUUCUAAGAUUUAUUUCUUUACACGUUUAUGGUAUCGAUUUUUAUUAGACGUGACUUUCAGAUCUGUUUGCUUCCUUAAUCU
This 263-nucleotide unclassified non-coding RNA is filed under the name Glomus sp. RNAcentral describes it as "partial contains 5.8S ribosomal RNA and internal transcribed spacer 2". The stretch from base 1 to 65 matches the Rfam family "5.8S ribosomal RNA", at positions 84 to 154 of the family's 154-position model. The record is from RNAcentral. Lineage: Eukaryota; Fungi; Glomeromycota; Glomeromycetes; Glomerales; Glomeraceae.